AGUGAACGUUGGCGGCGUGGAUUAGGCAUGCAAGUCGAGCGAUCGUAGCAAUACGGGAGCGGCAAACGGGGGUAGGAAUACACCGGAACGUACCUUUUGGUUGAGAAUAGCGUUGGGAAACUGACGGUAAUACUCAAUAAAGUCGAGAGACCAAAGGUUUACUGCCGGAAGAGCGGCCGAUGCGAUAUUAGGUAGUUGGUGGGGUAAUGGCCUACCAAGCCUGAGAUGUCUAGGGGGUGUGAGAGCAUGGCCCCCACCACUGGGACUGAGAUACUGCCCAGACACCUACGGGUGGCUGCAGUCGAGGAUCUUCGUCAAUGGGCGAAAGCCUGAACGAGCGACGCCGCGUGCGGGAUGAAGGCCCUUGGGUUGUAAACCGCUGUCAGGGGGGAUGAAACCGUAAGGUUGACAGAGCCCCAGAGGAAGCACGGGCUAAGUUCGUGCCAGCAGCCGCGGUAAU
RNAcentral lists this ribosomal RNA (460 nucleotides) under uncultured bacterium. RNAcentral's name for it is "bacterial SSU rRNA". It matches the Rfam family "Bacterial small subunit ribosomal RNA", at positions 29 to 524 of the family's 1533-position model. The record is from RNAcentral.